This 207-nucleotide ribosomal RNA is filed under the name uncultured bacterium. RNAcentral describes it as "partial 16S ribosomal RNA". It matches the Rfam family "Bacterial small subunit ribosomal RNA", at positions 568 to 774 of the family's 1533-position model. The record is from RNAcentral.
CUCGUAGGCGGUUUGUCGCGUCGAUCGUGAAAACUCGGGGCUCAACCUCGAGCUUGCGGUCGAUACGGGCAGACUUGAGUACUGCAGGGGAGACUGGAAUUCCUGGUGUAGCGGUGAAAUGCGCAGAUAUCAGGAGGAACACCGGUGGCGAAGGCGGGUCUCUGGGCAGUAACUGACGCUGAUGAGCGAAAGCGUGGGUAGCGAACA